This 1211-nucleotide ribosomal RNA is filed under the name metagenome. Its description in RNAcentral is "bacterial LSU rRNA". It matches the Rfam family "Bacterial large subunit ribosomal RNA", at positions 1724 to 2925 of the family's 2925-position model. The record is from RNAcentral.
GACACCGUAACUUCGGAAGAAGGUGUGCCUUUAGUAGGUGAUCCAUUUACUUGGUGAGCCCAAUGAGGCCGCAGAGAAUCGGUGGCUGCAACUGUUUAUUAAAAACACAGCACUCUGCAAAGACGAAAGUCGACGUAUAGGGUGUGACGCCUGCCCGGUGCUGGAAGAUUAAAUGAUGGGGUGCAAGCUCUUGACUGAAGUCCCAGUAAACGGCGGCCGUAACAAUAACGGUCCUAAGGUAGCGAAAUUCCUUGUCGGGUAAGUUCCGACCUGCACGAAUGGCGUAAUGAUGGCCACACUGUCUCCUCCAGAGACUCAGCGAAGUUGAAAUGUUUGUGAUGAUGCAAUCUCCCCGCGGAAAGACGGAAAGACCCCAUGAACCUUUACUGUAGCUUUACAUUGGACUUUGAACAGAUCUGUGUAGGAUAGGUGGGAGGCUUUGAAGCGGUGCCGCUAGGUGUCGUGGAGCCAACGUUGAAAUACCACCCUGGUGUGUUUGAGGUUCUAACCUUGGCCCGUUAUCCGGGUUGGGGACAGUGUAUGGUGGGCAGUUUGACUGGGGCGGUCUCCUCCCAAAGCGUAACGGAGGAGUUCGAAGGUACGCUAGCCACGGUCGGAAAUCGUGGUGAUAGUGCAUUGGCAUAAGCGUGCUUGACUGCGAGACUGACAAGUCGAGCAGGUACGAAAGUAGGACAAAGUGAUCCGGUGGUUCUGUAUGGAAGGGCCAUCGCUCAACGGAUAAAAGGUACUCUGGGGAUAACAGGCUGAUACCGCCCAAGAGUUCAUAUCGACGGCGGUGUUUGGCACCUCGAUGUCGGCUCAUCUCAUCCUGGGGCUGUAGCCGGUCCCAAGGGUAUGGCUGUUCGCCAUUUAAAGAGGUACGUGAGCUGGGUUUAAAACGUCGUGAGACAGUUUGGUCCCUAUCUUCCGUGGGCGCUGCAAGAUUGAGAGAGCCUGCUCCUAGUACGAGAGGACCGGAGUGGACGCACCUCUGGUGUAUCGGUUGUCACGCCAGUGGCAUUGCCGAGUAGCUAAGUGCGGAAGAGAUAACCGCUGAAAGCAUCUAAGCGGGAAACUCGUCUCAAGAUGAGUCUUGCCGGGGCCUUGAGCCCCCUGAAGGGUCGUUCGAGACCAGGACGUUGAUAGGCUGGGUGUGGAAGCGCAGUAAUGCGUUAAGCUAACCAGUACUAAUUGCCCGUGAGGCUUGACCG